Molecule: long non-coding RNA, 7769 nt
Organism: Mustela lutreola (European mink)
Lineage: Eukaryota; Metazoa; Chordata; Mammalia; Carnivora; Mustelidae
Exons: 3
Source: RefSeq, a predicted model, not a curated record
GACACCUGCAGAAAAGGGAUCUCUGAAGACACUCGCUUCCGGUAGGGAAGGACCCAAACCCACCCGCACCUCCCGCAUCCCUCCCGCACGAGCAGGUCGGUGAGCUCGUCCGCGGACUCCGAAACGAUGGCCUCCCCGGGGGCUGAGCUCCGACAGGCCAGCCGGGUAGACGGGCCAGAAGCGUCCCGACACCGUCGAGCCGGGACCGCCAGUCCCCCGGGCUCCGGGCGGUUUCCCCCCCAAGGAGGAGAAGGAGGAUGUGGAAGGUGGGAGUGACUUCAUGAAUGCUGUCAUUUAUAACUGAAAUCGAAAGGAAUCGUUUCAAGCUGACAAAUCAAGUCAUACAAGUAUAAACAUUUAACACCACGAAGGGGAUCAUCUGUAGCAAACAUCUUGCCCCCCAAACUCCUCUUGUUGGCUUCUGGAGAACUCAACUUGUGACAACACAUAACACCCAGCCCUUAACCUGGCAACUUCCCUUCUUUGGUAUUAGAAAUGCUAGAAAAUUCUAGCAUUUGAAUUACCCAAAAUGUUAAAUAAACCUGGUCAGAAUUUAGACCCAACUACAAAAAAGCUUACAUCCAGUGUAAGUUAUUUAGGAAAUUCCAAAUGCUUUUCUUUGUUACUUGCUACAUGUAGUACUUUAUAAAUGAUGCUUUUCUGCACACGAGCAGGAGCUCUUUUCUCAAAAGCUAGUGCAGAACACAUGUGACUGUUCACUUAAAAGGUUUAGCAAAGUCCUAGUCAACUGCAUUUGACAUUACUUCUAGUACCCUCAACCAUACUUACAGUCUACAAACAUGGUAGGACGAGAGAAUGGGGAAGCAACUGAGGCACUUGACUCAGGAACAAAGUUUGGUGGGAUUCCAAAAUAAUCAGUCAUCAACAUAAAUGGCAUUUUAAGAUGAUAUUAAAAAAUUAAUGCAAAAAAUAUCCAUGAUUUAAAAAUAUCAAAAUUGUUAUUGAGAUCAUCUUCACAUGACUGACUGAAUGAAUAGCAGAGGUUUGUGAUGGGGUUACAUACCUGCGGUCAUCACCCCAAAGCACCUCAUUCUACUUCCUCAUAAAUUGUUGAUGACAUUUUUUUCUGAUUUGAAAAAUAACAAAUAUACUUCACAUCCAUUAUGAUGACUAUUAUAAAAAAACGAAACUAAACAAAAAUGAACAAUAACCAGUGUUGGUGAAGAUGUGGCAAAAUGCAUUGGUGAUGGGGAUACCGAAUGGUGUCAUUACUGUAGUGGUUUCUCAAAACGUUAAACAUGGAAUGACCAUGUGAUGAUUCAGCAUAUGAUGAUUCUACAUACCUAGCAGUUCCACUCCUAUGUAUACACCCAAAAGGGCCUCAAUUCUUGGGUAUAUACCCAAACAGAUCCUUGAAUACCCAUGUCUUUAGCGGCAUUACUCACAAUAGCCAAAGGUGGAAACAAGAAAAAUAUUCACUGGCAGAUAAAUGAAUAAACAAAAUGUGGCUUAUAUGUACAUACAAUGGGAUAUUAUUCAGCUUGAACAAAUGAAGUUCUAAUAACAUGCCACAGCAUGGAUGGACCUUGAAAAGACUGUGCCAAGUGAAAUAAGCCACAUGCGGAAGGACACAUGGUGUUUGAGUCCAUUUAUAUGAGGUACUUAAAAUAGGCAAAUUCAUAGAGGAAGAUGGUAGAAUAGUGGUCACCAGGGACUGGGGGGAUGGGGUGGGAAGCUAUUAUUUAAUAGUUUCCACUCAGGUUGAUGAAAAUUCUGGAAAUGGGUGGUGGUGAUGGUUCCACACAGUGUAAAUGUAUUUAAUGCCACUGAAUUGGGCAUAUAAAAAUAGAAAAUAUGGUAAAUUUUAUGUCAUGUAUUUUUUACAGUAAAAAUGACAAAUGCUCACCUCAUAAAGUUAAACAAAUAAGAAAAUAAAGAGUAAAUUUUAAAUUAUUACUCGUGCUAUCACCCAGAGAGAUAGCUGGCUUCAGACCUUUCAUAGAACAUCUUGGGAUGACCUCACAACGUGUGGCAGCAUCAUUAAGACAUGCAUUUUUUUCCUCUCUGGCUUUUCUCUUCCUGUGUUAUGUGAGGAUAUCAGGCUUCACUUGCACGGUGUACACAGACAAAAGCAUCUUGGCCUGCAUAAUGUUUUCAUAUUGGCUGACUCCCCCUAACAAAUCCUAAUUUCUCUUGUCACUCAAGAGAUUAAGUGAAAGACCUUUGAGAGCAAGAGGAGAAAAGAGAAUUUGUAGGCUCCAAGAAGGAAUGGGGACAGAAUCUCUCACAUCACAAGUUCUAAGGGUUGGACCCAUGGACACACACCAGUGGCCAAUCCUCAGAUAGGAUGGCACUGAGGUGUCCAGCCUUCUGCAAAGAUUCUUCUAUUGUAUUCCUGGCGUGGAAGAGGAGAGCUAAGGAACGUCUCUGGACAUAAGCAAUAAGAACACCAGUAACAGACUUACUUGGUACACUAGACAUUUAUCUCCUGUUAUGAAUCUAUUGACAAUUAUUUAGAAGUCUUUGGGAAAAGAAGAUAGAAGUCUUGGAGGUCUGGCAACUUUCUAAGACACAACUAUUCCUAUAUCAAGGAUUGGCUACAUCAAAAUGUCUUGGCAUGACAGCCAUUGGGUUAUUGGGUUUUGUCUUUAGUUUCUUUUAAUCUAGAAGAGUCUCUUAACCUUUUAUUUCAUUUAAGGGUCUCCACUUUGUGGAGACCAGGCUGGUUAUCUAGUAGAUGCCCUAUAUUCUCAUUUGACUGAUUGGUUCUUCCCAAUAUUAUGUCUCUCUCCCUUGAAUUUUCUGGAACCCAGCUGUUAGGUGUAUGGCUAACAUUUUUGUUUCAAGAGGAGAUUCAGAUCCCACAUUUUUGGUAGGAUAAGCAUAUUUUGUAUCUCUUUCUACCCAGCAGCACAUGUCAAUUUGUCUACUGUAAGUGAUGCUCAAUUUAAUUGGACUUCUUGGGUAAGGUGGUGACGAGUGUCUCUCUCCAUUGUAAAGAUCAUAUUCCCCUCUUUAAACAGCAGGUCACCUGGGAGUGACACCAUGAAAUGUAGGCAGAUUGUCACCAAUAAUUCCUCCCAUUUCUGUUAGCAUGUUCUGCUCCUCCCAUCAAGAGGUAGAAAUCUUUUUCAUCCCUAUUCUGGACUGGCCUUGUAACAGUUUAAGUAAUUAUAAUGUGGUAGAAGUGGUAUAUCCUUAUUUUGGGGCCUAGGCCUUAAGAUGCCUUAAAGCGUCUCUUUUUGCCCUCUUGGGUUCAAGCUACCCAGUAAAGAAACUCGGGCUGGACUACUGAAUCGUAAUAGAGCAUGAAGAGGAGAGAGGUCCCCCCAGUCCAGCUGGAGGCAUCAGAGAUAGGAGUGAAGCCAUCUUGAAUUCUUCAGCCCAGGUCAAGCUAUCCCAGCCAACACCACGUGGUCAGAGGCAAGCCCUGUCCAUGGAGCUCUGCUUAACUUGCAGCCAUGACAAAAAAAUAAAUGGUAUUUUAGGCCAACAUGGAUUUUGAGUGGUUUGUCAUUCAGGCAACAUAGGAAACAAAUCCCAUAUAAAUAUUCUGUGUUUCAUGCGAUAGUUUUAGCAUCCAUUGAUAUUUGCCUGGGUCAAUUAUUUCAUUGGGGUUGCCACAGGAGAGUUUAAAUUUUGCUGUUCUCUCUACAGCAGAGAGAGAGAGAGAGAGAGAGAGAGAGAGAGCAGAGAGAAGAGGGGGAGAGAAAAAGCACCAGUUUUCUGUCAACUUGGUAUAAAUGGCUGUUCCUCCUGAGGAUGGAGGGUAAAUGCUUCAUCUUUCCCAUGAUUAGUUUUCAGAACAGAAAGGUGAAGAGUCAGUCACUCCCCAAGGAUGGCAAAUAGGGUUCUCCACCCUCUGCUUCUAGUCUUCCUUCAGUGCUUGUCCUCCAGUCCCCUGGGUCUCCACACAGACCUGUCCAUGAACUCAAAGCAUUGUGCUCUAACCGCUGAGUCAUUUGUCUGUUGAACUGAACUCUGUUUCUUGAAGGCAGGCACAUUAGGGGCAAAGCCAAGUAUGUCUCAGUUCUACGCGAACCUAGAUUUCUAUCAUACUCCUACUUUUUUUCUUCGUGCAUAUUAUCUUACAUGGUUUAGAUAAUAUCUGAUAAUAUUUUUAACCAUGACACUGCUUUAUCUUUGGGUGAUUUUGAUGUUUUUUCAUUUCAUUUUUUUGAUGAAAAGAGUACUGGCCACAGUAGAGUGGGCUGGUAAUAGAAAUCAGCAGUUCCUGACCCGCAAACCCCAACUCCACCAGGAGUAAGCACUUUCGGUUUUUUAGGUUUGGUUCUUGUACGUCUCUCUCUCGCUUUUUUAAUGGCCACAGUAUCUUUCAACUCAAAUGCCUUUUUCACAGUGUUGCCUUGUCUCCCAGUGACAGGUGGGAUCUAUAUCCUCUCCCCUAGAAACUGGAGGGCCUUUGUGACUGUUCCAACCAAUACAGUACGGCAGUGGGGACGCAGUGUGACUUCUGAGACUGCUACAGAGACUGCCAAAGUUUUCUGCCUCUCUGGGAAUACUUGGAUCUCGAAGCCUUCGUCCUGACCACCUGGCGGAAGUCCCACGUAGACACUGCCUGGGGAGGCUUCAUGGAGCUGCCCCUACUGCCCCCGGAGUUUCAUUGCUCUGCCAUGCCAGCCCCAGCCGCUCUGUGACCACAUCUGUGCACAUGGUUCCUAGCUAGACCCCGUGAGCUCCUGAUCCACAGCAAUCAAGAGAGAAAAUGGUGCUUUAAGUCAUGAUGGUCAGGCCUCUUGGGAGGCCAGACUUGGUUUUUUGGUCAUACUAAGAAAGUAGCACCUUCAUUUACUCUGGUCCCAAGGAUCCCAGCAUCACUGAAUUAUUGCUUAUGAACUCCGUGGGGAAGAUCAUUCUAAUUGUCACGCAUGCACGUUCUAAUUGCCUCAUAUGCUGACAAAUCCACUUGGCUUGUAAUGGUUAAUUGACAUGACAUGGCUUCUGCAACCAAAGGAUCUUUUCAGCUCUGACGAAAUCAAAGAGCCAGUGAAAUAACUGGCUUUCACCUAUCAAAGGCUCGGUUACGGGGCUGGGUCAUGGAUCUCCCCUGGGAACAGUGAAGCCUGGGGAAGGUUCUCAAAAGAUGAAUCCAUGCCAGCAUUUCUAUUUCCUAAAGAUACUGGGUUCUUCCUUCUGCAUUAUGUAUUAAUGGAGUUCCGAUUCGAUUGUCGAGUUGUUUCUUCAACCACCGAAGCAAUUAAAACCACUCCCAGCAGCUCAAACUGAAAUUCUAAAUUCAGUCUGAUUGAACCUGUAUCAUUAAGUCUUGAUCAUUUCUGAAACUCGGCUCUCCUUUUCUUGACUGAUCACCAAAACACUCCAUUCCCACCCAGAGUGUUCCAGGUAUGUCCUGAGGCUCAGAAUCCUUCAAAUCCUUAUAAAUAUACACAUCCCAAUACUAUGCACCCUGCUCUUUGCCUCCCAAAUUUCCUUACCUUCACAUUAAAAAACCAAUAAACUCCACAAAACUUGUUGAAUCUGAAUUUAACUGCUAUCACUUGGUAACUGCACAAAUACUAAGUUUCACUUGAAUUUUUUGAUACUGUGAAUGUGAGGAAUGUUUAUAGUCAUGGAUCUCUGGGUUUCUCUCCCUGCCCUAACCUCAAAACAGCAGUCUUUGCCUUCAUUUUGUUCUGUAGUAGCUAGGAAGGAGUUCCCGUGUCUUGUCCUCACUGGGCACUUCAUUCCAUGGGACCACAGACCAUUGUGUAAUUAGCUGUCUCACCAUGAGCUACCAGAUUCCCAUCAGGUCAGAUACUAGUGAUGCGGAUUCUGUUUUUAACGUCCUGCCAUCUUUGUGGUGCUCAAGACAGAUGGACCUGGAUGGCAGCACCUGAUGCACCAUGGCUGGUCGGGUGCCCAUGAGGGUUGCCUUGUAAUGGAGAAAAACAGGAUGUCCCCACUUUGGUUCCUGUAGCGGGAGGCUAGGGGCAUUCCCAAAAGCAGAAGGGCAGUUUGGGGGAACAGCAUGCUUCCCAAGUACAUUUGUUUGAUGACUUGUCUACGCCGUUCUGUUUUUUACUCUCUUCUUAAAAGCUUUCCUAUUAUUAUAGAGCUCCAGAGGGAGACACAAACUCCUGUGAUCAGCUCUUGGCCCAACUGUAAUUCUUCCCUAAAAACUUUUGCUUAUUUUGGGAAAUUAAAAUAUUUAAAGAUAAAAACAAAGGAAAACUUGGGGCGCCUGGGUGGCUCAGUGGGUUUAAGCCUCUGCCUUCAGCUCAGGUCAUGAUCCCAGGGUCCUGGGAUCGAGCCCCACAUUGGGCUCUCUGCUCCGCAGGGAGCUUGCUUCCCUUCCUCUCUCUCUGCCUGCUUGUGAUCUCUGUCAGUCAAAUAAAUAAUAAAUUAAAAAAAAAUCUUAAAAAAAAUUAUUAAAAAAAAAAACAAAAAACAAACAAACCCAAAGGAAAACUUAGCAAACAUCCAUACUGCUAUCACACAGAUUUAGCCACUGUUAAUUUCUUGAUGUAUUUGCUUUCAUUCCUAAUUUAAAGUAAAAAUGUGUGGGGCAGGUUGGAGGGGGGCAAAAAUAAUACAUACUUAUUGUAAAGUAUUCAGACUGAGAAAAAAUUACAGAUUCAUUCACUCAAUAAAUAUUUAUUGAGCACCCAUCAGGCACCAGGCACUGUUCCGGAUACUGAGAUACAGCAGAGAGAGAGGAAAGAAAGACCAGAAAAUCCAAGCUCUCACAGAACAUACAUGUUAGCAGAAAAAACUACAAGUGAGAAAAACAGGGAACUACACAGCAUGUUACAUGGUAAGUGCUGCAGAGGAAACUAAAGCAGGGAAUGGGUAUAAGGAGCGUCCGGAGGGACUGCGAUUUUAAAUAGGACGACCGGGGAAUCUCUCACUGAAAAGGUGACAUCUGAAAAUAUACCUGAAGAUAAAAGGGGGAGAGAAAAUUAAAAAAAAAAAAAUCAACCAAAAUCUCACUAACCACAAAUGACAAAAUGAACAUGAGGUGAAAAAAAAUUUGUUACCUUUCUAUGUAUACAAACAGAAACAUACAGCUAGGAGAAACAUACUAUUAUAAAAAUGGAUGCAAACUUUAAAAUAUUUUUUCUUUUCAAUCAUCAAUUUUUAAAGCAUCUUUGUUGUGUCUGGGGAUUAGAGAACAUACACGUAGAUGUGCAGAGAUCUACAUAUCAGAUUUGAGAUUAUAUUAAGUCUAGAUUCAACUCGGUUAGAACUGAUACUUCAACCAUCUUCUGAUUCAUGAACAAGGCCCAUUUCUCUAUUUACUCAGGUUUUCCUUUGUAAUGUAUCCUAGUUUUCUAUGUGAAGGUCUGCACAUCUUUCAGACUUGAGAUAUCUGAUGCAAUUAUAAUUGGUAUUGUUUUCAUAAUUUCAAUUCCUAAUUGUUGCUCAGAUAUACACCAUGAUUUGAUUAACUUUGCAUGCUGUAACCUUAUUAAAUUCAAAUUCUAAGAUUAAUUUGGAUUUGCUACAUAUACAAUGUUAUCUGAAAAUAAUUUUGUUUCCUUUUCAAUCUCUAAACUUAUAAAUUCCUGUCUAAAGUUGAAAAGAAGUGGUGAUAGCAGGAGAGUAAAGUUUUCUAUAAUUCACAAUUAAGUGUGAUGCUUCCUACAGUACUGCUUUUUUUCCCUUUUUGUAGAUGCCCUUUAUUAGCUCCCUUCUAUUCCUAGCUUGUAGGGUUUUUCUUAAAAAAAAUAAAAAUAAAAAAAUCAUAAAUGGGUACUGGAUUUUAACAAAUGCUUUUUAUGGCUCUAAAAAUGUAACUUCUGUACAUUACUUUGAUAAAUGCAAUAAACAUUAAUUUUUCAACUACA